AGUCGAAACUAGUUAUACAUAAAAAAAGCAGUUAAAUACCUAAUCAAAUUAUAAUAAAAUUAUAAGAUAAAGAAUAACUACACUUACUAUUCAAAUAAAUGAAUAAUCAAAUCAAUUUUUCUUUUAUUAUUUUAACCUCUGAUUUUUCUUACCUUUUUAAGAUUAGCUUUUUUAAGGUUAAGAAUAUUUCUUUAGUUUAUUUAACCUAUUAAAGUUAGAUAUAAAAAUAAAAUACUCCUUACUACUAACCCCUACCCUUCCUCUUAUGGAGGAUAAAGUAGGCAAAAAAGUAGUCAAUAAAUAAAUUAAUAGAAAUAUAAAUAAUAAUCAAUAUUUUAUUAUUUAUAAUGUUUUACUUAUUUUA
This 364-nucleotide ribosomal RNA is filed under the name Hebeloma pusillum. RNAcentral's name for it is "partial small subunit ribosomal RNA". Lineage: Eukaryota; Fungi; Basidiomycota; Agaricomycetes; Agaricales; Hymenogastraceae. The record is from RNAcentral.